This 256-nucleotide ribosomal RNA is filed under the name uncultured bacterium. RNAcentral describes it as "partial 16S ribosomal RNA". It matches the Rfam family "Bacterial small subunit ribosomal RNA", at positions 793 to 1055 of the family's 1533-position model. The record is from RNAcentral.
GUCCACGCCGUAAACGAUGGAUACUAGCUGUUCGGCGCAAGUUGAGUGGCUAAGCGAAAGUGAUAAGUAUCCCACCUGGGGAGUACGCACGCAAGUGUGAAACUCAAAGGAAUUGACGGGGGCCCCGCACAAGCGGUGGAGCAUGUGGUUUAAUUCGAUGAUACGCGAGGAACCUUACCAGGGCUUAAAUGUAGAUUGACAGGUCUGGAAACAGACUUUUCUUCGGACAAUUUACAAGGUGCUGCAUGGUUGUCGU